This 29-nucleotide small RNA is filed under the name Bombyx mori (domestic silkworm). Its description in RNAcentral is "ovarian small RNA-13520". The record is from RNAcentral. Lineage: Eukaryota; Metazoa; Arthropoda; Insecta; Lepidoptera; Bombycidae.
CCACGGUAUGGGCUGGCCAAAGAGAGUGU